This 74-nucleotide transfer RNA is filed under the name Rhipicephalus microplus (southern cattle tick). RNAcentral describes it as "tRNA-Lys". It matches the Rfam family "tRNA". From Rfam's summary of the family: Transfer RNA (tRNA) molecules are approximately 80 nucleotides in length. Their secondary structure includes four short double-helical elements and three loops (D, anti-codon, and T loops). Further hydrogen bonds mediate the characteristic L-shaped molecular structure. tRNAs have two regions of fundamental functional importance: the anti-codon, which is responsible for specific mRNA codon recognition, and the 3' end, to which the tRNAs corresponding amino acid is attached (by aminoacyl-tRNA synthetases). tRNAs cope with the degeneracy of the genetic code in two manners: having more than one tRNA (with a specific anti-codon) for a particular amino acid; and 'wobble' base-pairing, i.e. permitting non-standard base-pairing at the 3rd anti-codon position. The record is from RNAcentral. Lineage: Eukaryota; Metazoa; Arthropoda; Arachnida; Ixodida; Ixodidae.
UCCCCAGUGGCGCAAUUGGUUAGCGCACGGUACCUUUAAUGCCGGGGUUGUGAGUUUGAGCCUCACCUGGGGAA